ACCCGUCGACUCGCACGCAUGUCAGACUCCUUGGUCCGUGUUUCAAGACGGGUCGGAUGGGGAGCCCGCAGGCCGUUGCAGCGCAGCGUCCCGAGGGACGCGCCUCGCGGCGCGCGGAGACCGGCCGCGCCGACGACGGCUGCCGGAGGCACCUGAGGCCCCCGGGCUUAGGCCGCCGGCGCAGCCGACAACAGUCCACGCCCCAAGCCGAACGGCGGACCAGCAGAAGCCGUUCCGCAUACGACUGGGACGCAUCGC
This 258-nucleotide ribosomal RNA is filed under the name Panicum incomtum. RNAcentral describes it as "5.8S ribosomal RNA". Lineage: Eukaryota; Viridiplantae; Streptophyta; Magnoliopsida; Poales; Poaceae. The record is from RNAcentral.